RNA transcript from Salvia miltiorrhiza (redroot sage), 2034 nucleotides. It is a transcript of the gene named vacuolar cation/proton exchanger 3-like, with no coding region annotated. The transcript has 12 exons. NCBI's taxonomy places the organism in Eukaryota, Viridiplantae, Streptophyta, Magnoliopsida, Lamiales, Lamiaceae. The record is from RefSeq and is a predicted model, not a curated record.
UAGCGCAAAACACAACAGAAAUUCAAAUAAGAAACACCACUCCCCACUUCCAUUUCAAACCUACAAAUUAUUUGAGCAGAGAGAGAGAGUGGGUGAAGAAGUGAAGGAGCAAAAUGGCAUCAACAAAACAAGAUUUGGGGAAAAUGGCGGCGCCUGACCAAUGGCUGCUUGAAAAUGGAAACAUUAAGCUGCUGAGCAGAGAGCGGCGCGGGCGUAGCGCCCAUAACAUGUCUUCUUCUUCCCUGCGGAAGAAAUCGGAUCGGACCCUCGUUUCCAAGGUUCGGGUCGGCUGCCUGCGCAAGUUGUUGACCAAUCUUCAAGAAGUUUUGCUCGGAACCAAGCUUGCCAUUUUGUUUCUCGCCAUUCCUUUCGCCAUUAUUGCCGAGUAUCGCAACUUUGGGAGGCCAUGGAUAUUUGCUUUGAGCCUGCUGGGACUCACUCCACUUGCAGAAAGGAUCAGUUUUCUUACUGAGCAAAUAGCUUUCUUCACAGGACCAACAGUUGGAGGGCUCCUAAACGCAACAUGUGGAAAUGCCACAGAAUUGAUAAUAGCCAUUCUUGCACUUGUCCAAAACAAAGUUGAUGUUGUGAAGUACUCUUUAUUGGGCUCUAUCCUCUCCAACCUUCUUCUAGUUCUUGGCACCUCUCUUCUUUGUGGAGGCAUCGUCAACAUCUCCAAAGAGCAAAAAUUCGACAGAAAACAAGCGGAUGUGAACUCGUUGCUUUUGUUGUUGGGAUUGCUGUGCCAUCUACUACCGUUGAUGUUCACAUUUGUGGGAAAAACACCUGAGAUUGCAGCAGUUGGGACGCUUCAACUGUCGAGAGCAAGUUGCUUUAUUAUGCUCGUUGCAUAUAUCGCUUAUCUCGUCUUUCAGUUAUGGACUCACCGAGAAUUAUUUGAGGCACAAGAGGACGAAGAUGGUGACGUGGCAGGAGACGACGAAACUCCGGUCAUCGGAUUCUGGAGCGCAUUCAUUUGGCUAGUUCUGAUGACCGGCGUCGUAGCUCUACUCUCAGAAUAUGUUGUUGCAACAAUUGAAGCUGCAUCUGAGUCUUGGGGUUUGUCAGUGAGCUUUAUUAGUGUGAUUCUACUACCAAUAGUUGGAAAUGCAGCAGAACAUGCUGGAGCAAUUAUUUUUGCUUUCAAGAACAAAUUGGACAUAACUCUAGGUGUCGCCCUAGGAUCGGCCACUCAAAUUGCCAUGUUCGUGGUCCCAUUAACUGUGCUUGUGUCAUGGAUAAUCGGCAUCGACAUGGAUCUUAAUUUUAACCUACUUGAGACAGGCUCUCUAGCGUUGUCAAUUUUAUUAACAGCUAUAACUUUGCAGGAUGGAACAUCUCAUUAUAUGAAGGGACUAGUUCUUCUACUAAGCUACUUCAUCAUUUCAGCUUGCUUCUUUGUAUAUCAAUCUCCACUUAAUGGAGCUGACUCUAACAACAUGGGGCUCGUCACCUCUCCUGAACAAGGAAUAAUGAGACUUUGAAUUAUAGGUAUGUAUAUAUAGUUAGUGAUAAGUACAUCACUACUAUUAUAAAUUAUUAUUUGUUUUCAUACCAACAAAAAAUGCAAUAUUAGCCAUAUGUUUUAUAUUGAUUGUGUGCACAUAUAUAUGAGCGUAGGUUUGCAGCUUCAGAAGAUUGAAUUAAUUCAUGUACUCAUUAAUUCAUCGAUUGAAAUGGCUUCAAGUUUCAUGCAAAGAACGAAAAAUGUGCCUUGAAAAUCGAGCUGAGUUGAGUCGAGUAGAAGAUACACGAAGUGAAGAUUGUUGGUCGGAGAUGUUUGAUCUGAAAUGAGGCAAUCUACUCGCAGGAGCAUUGAUUAAUCACUCGAUUGAGUUCCUGUUUUUGUUGUUCUUUUUUUGUUACGGUUUUAUGGUUGUGUUGUUUACCGUCUCGAGUUGUUUGUUUUCACAUUUUAAAUGAUAAUUGGAAUUAUAAUUUCCAAUUGUGUGUUAUAAUAAUAUUGUAAUAAUAAAUCAUGUUUGUUCGCGAUCGGCUCAUGUAUUUAUGUAUAAAAAUGAAGGUUUUAUCGUA